CGUGUCAGACCCCUCGGGCUAUUGAGCACAUCAUGUUUUCCCCUUACCCCCUUUUGUCUGAAUUGUUCGUCAGUAUUGUAGCGAGGCGGGAGCCCUGCCUCUCAAGUUGAAAGCCGUCAGCCUUUUAUGACAAGGCAGGCGCUUUCAGCCUUGAUACUUAGGUUGCUUCGGAUGGUGCAAUGCCAAUUGCGCCAUCCGACAAACAUCUUUCUCUUCUUGCACCACCACAUCCUGGUGAUGGUGCAACUGUAUACGUGUCUUUAUCUAUGUUGCAAUAACUAACCCUAAGUAUAAAAGCCCACGCUUUGCCUCAUCCCGGCAGAGUGAUCCCGGCAGUGUACUCCCUAACAAGUGGUAAAUACAAGUUUCCUUAUAAUAUACUUUGUGUUUAUGUGUUAGUAUUAGUUCAGUAUAAGUGUAACUUCAGUGUGAGUGUAUAUUGUGAUCCAAUCAUCACAGUAUCUUAAUAUUCGUGGAGCCAGUAGGUUGCAGAAUACAGCUGUCUCAAAGAUUUUCAAGUCUUCAAGUUAAUGUUAGGAAAUAUCCGACAUUAUUUAGAAUUUAAUUCUUUUUGAAGUUAAUGUUAGGAAAUAUCCGACAGUGACCAUAAAUAACUAGAAACUUUUUGUGGAAUUAACCGUGGUCAGUAUGGGACCUCUGUCCUGUUUUACCCCCACAUUUUUCCUCAUCAACCAUUUUUCCCCUAUUUUUCAAAAUUCAUUGUAAUCGUGAACUAUAAAACGUAUGGCGAUGAGGAAAUUCCCUAAUGUAAUAUAAACAACGCUCUUUAUACAAAUCUAAUUUAUUCAGCAUUGUUACAAACUGAAUUACAGACAAAACAAAGUUUUGGUCCUGUAAGACCCCGCUCUCUCCUACUUAUUUUAAAUUUGUAAUGAGCUAAGAUUAUUUUGCUAGUACUACAGCUUCACAAAAGCUACUUUAUGUAUGCUUACAUAUUCGCAUUGAAGAUUUUCUAUCGCAAUUAUCGAUAACAAUAUAUAGCAGACAAUUAUCUCAUCUAUCGAUAAAUAAAUAGCGUUCGACGAAAAUUUUUUGUCUUUUUGUUUCGUCUGUUUUUUUUUUAUCUUUUGAAGUUUUGAGCAUUACUUAUUCCCUUUACACAUUACAUUAUAAAUGGCGUCUUUUAUAAACAAGGGCCGUCACAAGAAAAUAUUGAAAGGAAGAGCUACCACUGCCAUUGAUGCAAAUUACAUAUUGAAUAUUUUAAGAAAGUAAAAGAAAGUGGUGACGGUGUAGUGGAAGUGGAGGAAUUACCACUGAUAUCUACAAGUCCAGAAUAUUUGGGAAAUGUACACCCUGAUCAUGAGGACUCAAACUGCAACAUCACAGAUAGUGGAGAUUGUAUUCAAGCUAAAAUAUCGGAAGUUACUGUACGUAAAGACCAGCAUGGGUAAACAAAUAACACUGUGAAAAAUACUGACAAAUAACACAACAGCAAUGUUACUGAUGAUUGAAUUUCACUUCAGACGACGGUUACCCGAAAGUUGUCCAAAACUGUGGUCACAAACACCGUUUAUCAAUCGAACAAUAGCUCCCAUAGUUCUUGGAACAUUACGCUCUACCAGAAAUCAUGACGUAGGUCGAUCCCAACGUAAGAAGUGAUUUGAACUCUGGGUCUGGGUGCUGCAGUAAAACUUACUACUGAACACAAAGAAAUACCUGUCAAUGUUUUUAUUGUCAUAUAUGUACAAAUGAACAUGUAGACUGCAAAUAUGAGAGAGUCAAGAAGGGAAUAAAAAAUCUGAUGUUUUGAACACAAUUUUUUUGUCUUGUGGUUUUACUGUUUAGCUGGUUUGGUAGGCAGUUAAUUGAACAAGAAUGACCUGGGUGCCGUCUUUCCUCGUCUUUCCACCACGCGUAAUGGUGUUCACUGCUUUUUGGACUGGGAUGGGAAGGGUGACCUCGAUGGAGCCUUUGGAAACUUGAUCCUUAUGCUGCCGAGUAAACUUCAGAUCAUCUGUUUAAAGCAUGAAUUUUGGGAUCGCAAGUUGCUAUCUCUCCUUUUUUUAAUUCCAUCUCCGAAUAACGCCUCUAUUUCAUAUUCUAUUGAGAAACCAACUAAGCGAAAACGAAUUUCGUCGGCGCCGGCUGGAAGGACGCAGAACAUAAUGACUUUUCUUGCUCUGCUACAUGGUCUUUGUAGACAGAGACGACGAUGGGUUGAUUAUGAUGAUUAAAUCUUGAGUCCAGAUUCGCAAAGGCAGUAGCGCCUUCUUCCUCUUUUAACUUAGUAAUUUUUGUUACACCUCUAUUUCUGCUGCAGCCUCAUUUGAGGCGGUCGCUUCACCGUGUCGCUUCCUCACUGAAUAAAUUAACAUACAUGUAAUUCAAAUACUACAAAAAUUUAAGAGCAAAUGCUUACAUAACAGACCAAUAGAGCUUCUCAAAUCGUUGAACACAUUACAAAACACACUCAAUGAGAAUUCUUUUAAUAUUUCAUGUUCGUCUUAGAUUGUUUUAGGUUGUGUAGUACCUUCAAUGGUACCGUCUUGAAAAAUUUGUUCGAGAACAACAUGAACCGGAUUUCCCGAAUCACGAUUCCAACAAUUAGGAACCGUAGCCAUAAAAAAGCAAAAGAAUUGAAAACAUGUUUGCUGGCAUGGUUGAAAACUAGAAGAGUUUUUAAUCGUCUGCUCAGUUGUUGCCAUUUUAUCGAUUUGAUAACAUUAAUAUAUUUAAAAAAUUCAA
Long non-coding RNA from Daphnia pulicaria, 2709 nucleotides. RefSeq lists it as uncharacterized. NCBI's taxonomy places the organism in Eukaryota, Metazoa, Arthropoda, Branchiopoda, Diplostraca, Daphniidae. The record is from RefSeq and is a predicted model, not a curated record. The transcript is spliced from 3 exons.